AGUGAACGCUGGCGGUAGGCCUAACACAUGCAAGUCGAACGGCAGCACAGUAAGAGCUUGCUCUUACGGGUGGCGAGUGGCGGACGGGUGAGGAAUACAUCGGAAUCUACUUUUUCGUGGGGGAUAACGUAGGGAAACUUACGCUAAUACCGCAUACGACCUACGGGUGAAAGCAGGGGAUCUUCGGACCUUGCGCGAUUGAAUGAGCCGAUGUCGGAUUAGCUAGUUGGCGGGGUAAAGGCCCACCAAGGCGACGAUCCGUAGCUGGUCUGAGAGGGUGAUCCGCCACACUGGAACUGGGAAACGGUCCAGACUCCUACGGGAGGCAGCAGUGGGGAAUAUUGGACAAUGGGCGCAAGCCUGAUCCAGCCAUACCGCGUGGGUGAAGAAGGCCUUCGGGUUGUAAAGCCCUUUUGUUGGGAAAGAAAAGCAGCAGGUUAAUACCCCGCUGUUCUGACGGUACCCAAAGAAUAAGCACCGGCUAACUUCGUG
Molecule: ribosomal RNA, 492 nt
Filed under: uncultured bacterium
Lineage: Bacteria
Description: partial 16S ribosomal RNA
Rfam family: Bacterial small subunit ribosomal RNA
Source: RNAcentral